UCUACACAACAUCUGAUGGACUA
This 23-nucleotide non-coding RNA is filed under the name Arabidopsis thaliana (thale cress). Lineage: Eukaryota; Viridiplantae; Streptophyta; Magnoliopsida; Brassicales; Brassicaceae. The record is from RNAcentral.